UGUUAAGAACCGAGCACACGUGUUCACAUGCAAGUCCUGAGUCCCUCCGAGAUGCUGGCGACCGGGGCCAAACUCCCUUCUCAGACAACCCAACGGACAUCGGUGCUGAGCCCUCGCCCCUAGACCUGCGGGACCGAUCACGCAAGAGUAAGUGAGGGACCAGUUCAGAAGACUAAGUCUGACGUCCAGAAGAGAGUGAGAGGGUCAUCCAUCAAAGCAGUUUAUAUCAACAUAAGCGGGGGACCUCCAGUGACAGAGCCUGACAAGCCUCAUUUGGGUAAAAUAAGAAAGCAAGAACUCGUGAAUCUACUCUCACCGGCAAUUUCAAUAACCGUGAAUAUCCAGUUCCUCAAGCACUACGCUGAACAGAUUUCAAUUUCUGUGUUGAAUUGCUUUGGUCUCUUUGUAUGAAGCCGUUUGAUCUACAUGCAGCAAGGGGAGGGAUUUCCCUCAGCCCUCAGUCCUCCUCCAGUGGUUGACUGCCGUUCCUCGGCACCUGGUAGAAGGCUUGGAGUUCCUGUGAAGUCCGUCUUCUCGCCAUCAUAACUGGGAAGGCUCCUAUACUACAACAUGCUGGGACACUUCCGCUGCAGAAGGGUCUCUCCAGUCUCCUGCCUUGCCACCAAUCCCUCUGCUGAGUACCCAGUGAAGGCCUAUGUUAAGGGCUUAGCAGGGUAGUUCGGAGUCAUUUGUGGACCCUGGACGGUCUCCAAACUACACUCUCACCUACACUCAACAUUUAGAAAUCCAUAUAAGUAUUACCAGUUUUCUUCCUACCGUUUUUAUGGCAGUUUUUUCUUCUGCUCUGCUGAAGAUUAAAAUAUCCAUGGAUUCCAUAUCUCCUAAGAGCACUUGGCAUUUCUCAUAUUUUAAUUGAUUAUGUUACUUUCAGACAUUAGGUCUUCAAUGGGUUAAAAAAAU
This is a long non-coding RNA of Canis lupus familiaris (dog), 921 nucleotides long. RefSeq lists it as uncharacterized. The record is from RefSeq and is a predicted model, not a curated record. The transcript has 5 exons. NCBI's taxonomy places the organism in Eukaryota, Metazoa, Chordata, Mammalia, Carnivora, Canidae.